Molecule: ribosomal RNA, 468 nt
Filed under: uncultured bacterium
Lineage: Bacteria
Description: partial 16S ribosomal RNA
Rfam family: Bacterial small subunit ribosomal RNA
Source: RNAcentral
GACGAACGCUGGCGGCGUGCUUAACACAUGCAAGUCGAACGGAAAGGCCCUGCUUUUGUGGGGUGCUAGAGUGGCGAACGGGUGAGUAACACGUGAGUAACCUGCCCUUGACUUUGGGAUAACUUCAGGAAACUGGGGCUAAUACCGGAUAGGAGCUCCUGCUGCAUGGUGGGGGUUGGAAAGUUUCGGCGGUUGGGGAUGGACUCGCGGCUUAUCAGCUUGUUGGUGGGGUAGUGGCUUACCAAGGCUUUGACGGGUAGCCGGCCUGAGAGGGUGACCGGCCACAUUGGGACUGAGAUACGGCCCAGACUCCUACGGGAGGCAGCAGUGGGGAAUAUGGCACAAUGGGCGGAAGCCUGAUGCAGCAACGCCGCGUGCGGGAUGACGGCCUUCGGGUUGUAAACCGCUUUCGCCUGUGACGAAGCGUGAGUGACGGUAAUGGGUAAAGAAGCACCGGCUAACUACGUG